This 1145-nucleotide long non-coding RNA is filed under the name Piliocolobus tephrosceles (Ugandan red Colobus). Its description in RNAcentral is "lncRNA (ENSPTEG00000016510.1)". Lineage: Eukaryota; Metazoa; Chordata; Mammalia; Primates; Cercopithecidae. The record is from RNAcentral.
UCCAACCAAAAACCAAAUAGUCACAAAAAAUAUGGGGCACAGAGAAGAGAAUGUCAGCCUAAUCCCUAACAUGGGUACCUUCUGGCUAUCACCCCAAAACCUAGCCUUCCCCAGACUCAACUGUUGAUGCCUCCUCUGCUCCAGAUGAAACUGGUGUGCUUGGAAACAUAGGGAGACAACCCAUAUACUCGGGUCUUCUGUUGGAAGAGCUUUCAGCCCAACCCAUUUACUCCUGCAUCUUCAGGAUGCCCCCAUUUCCAUGAAUGCACAGGAAAGCCAACACUCCACCCACAUCAUGGGCAUCAGAGGUCAUCAUGCCCACAUUCUAACCUGGUACAUUUCCCAAUAUGGUGAAACUGCUGGACUGACUGUAUUUUCACUCCCCCACCUCCUGUUUGCUCUGAUUUCAGAUCCUAAACAUCACUGUGAAAGCCCCAGCCUGCUGCUGAGCCAGCUGCUGCCCCACAUGGAGAAGAUGGGUUCCCAUAUUGACAUUCUGGAGCAGUCACUGAAUUCAGCAAGCAUGUACUGAGCAGCUAGUAUAGACUGGGCUGCUUCUCUGGACUUGUGUGAUCAUCUGUGAAACACAACCAGGACUUCUAACUAAUGAUGACUUCUGAGGCCCCUUCCAGCUCUAACACAGGCAUGGUGUGAUAUUAGAUUGAAUCUCAGUGGUCCUGAGUCACUGAGAACAGUGUGGAAUUGACAGGAAGAGCCAGCCCUAGGCCCAUCCCACAGGUAAUACAUCUACCAUGGGCUGUGGGGAGAGCAAGGAAGCAGACUUCCUAAUUUGGGAAAUGACUGGCAGGGGCUGGGAAAAGGUCGAGGAGGACAGGGCCAGUAUAAGAGGAAGUGGGAGGGACAAAAAAUAUCAUUUUUAUUGAUAGAAAAUGGCCAAGUACAGUAAUUUAUGUGGUUAAACACAAUACCAUGGUUUUCAAAUUGUUUUUAAUGGCAGAAACCUUUUGUCAAAGAAUAACCUCCAUAGGAGUCCAAUGCAUAAAACAGACAAAAGCAGAAAUGCCCAGCUUAAAAUUGGAUUAGGGGCCUGAUGCUCAACAAUUUGGUCCCUGUUCCUGGUACUGGGCACCUCUUGCAGAAUCGCUUCACAAAACUGGUUGCAAACUAUGAAUGUAAAGAAGACA